UACAGAGGUCUCAAGCGUUGUUCGGAUUCAUUGGGCGUAAAGGGUGCGUAGGUGGCGCCAUAAGUCGGGUGUGAAAUCUCGGGGCUUAACUCCGAAACUGCAUUCGAUACUACCGUGCUUGAGGACUGGAGAGGAGACUGGAAUUUACGGUGUAGCGGUGAAAUGCGUAGAUAUCGUAAGGAAGACCAGUGGCGAAGGCGGGUCUCUGGACAGUUCCUGACGCUGAGGCACGAAGGCCAGGGGAACAAACGGG
This 253-nucleotide ribosomal RNA is filed under the name uncultured bacterium. Its description in RNAcentral is "partial 16S ribosomal RNA". It matches the Rfam family "Bacterial small subunit ribosomal RNA", at positions 524 to 776 of the family's 1533-position model. The record is from RNAcentral.